This 485-nucleotide unclassified non-coding RNA is filed under the name Hevea brasiliensis (rubber tree). Lineage: Eukaryota; Viridiplantae; Streptophyta; Magnoliopsida; Malpighiales; Euphorbiaceae. The record is from RNAcentral.
GCUAGCUGCUGAAACAGAAUGCUUUUUGUUAAAGCAAGAAAAGGGGGUUGAAAAAGUUCGAGUGUGGGAGGUGGGUAUGUUUCAAUUAAUGGAGAGAGUAAUGGGUCAGAGGAUUUGAGGUAAUUAAUGGCGGAUUCGAGCUCACCUUCGUAUGAAAGUGAACGAGAAACAAUUCUUGGUACGAUGGUGGAAAUCUGGGUUUUGGGUAAACAGGGAUCAACAGUAUUGGAAAGCUUCCGAGUUUUUCUGGGUCGAGAAGGUAGCUUGGUGGGUGGUGAAUGAGUUUGAAGAGGUACAAUAUUAAUGGCGUCGGCAGAAGGGGGAUUUGAUGGGGUGAGGGUGUUAGGGUUAGGUUCAGCAGCAGAUUCUGAUUCUCCAGCCAUUGAUGAAGGAAAGAGAACUGCAAAUGGUGAUCAAUUGAGGGAUUCAACACAGGGGAAGUCGUUAAUGAAGAUUUACAAGAUUGAAGGUCGUUAAUGGAGAUU